Long non-coding RNA from Glycine soja, 243 nucleotides. RefSeq lists it as uncharacterized. The record is from RefSeq and is a predicted model, not a curated record. The transcript is spliced from 3 exons. NCBI's taxonomy places the organism in Eukaryota, Viridiplantae, Streptophyta, Magnoliopsida, Fabales, Fabaceae.
UAUUUGUUCUCUGUCCUAGGGAAAACAUGGUUGUUUGGUUUUGUUCGUUGCCAAAGAAGCCUGAUGUUAACAUAAAAGCCGUAAUAAAUAGUGCAAUGAAGACAAUAAGUAGUUCUUUGGAAGGCAUGUCUCAGCAAGGUCCACCUCGGUGGAUUGAACCCAAGAGUCAUGUUCAAAGUGAAGGGUACGAGUGUGGAUACUAUGUGAUGCAUUGGAUGUGGUGCAUCGUUAGUGGUCGUUUGA